This is a non-coding RNA of Harmonia axyridis, 79 nucleotides long. Lineage: Eukaryota; Metazoa; Arthropoda; Insecta; Coleoptera; Coccinellidae. The record is from the annotation of a RefSeq genome assembly.
GUCUUGGUAGCUCAGUUGGUGAGAGCACUGGACUGUUAAUUCGUAGGUUGCGGGUUCGAGUCCCGCUCAAGGAGGUACU